UACGGAGGGUGCAAGCGUUGUUCGGAAUUACUGGGCGUAAAGCGCGUGUAGGCGGCUCGUUAAGUCCGAUGUGAAAACCCUGGGCUUAACCCAGGAAGUGCAUUGGAUACUGGCGGGAUUGAGUACGGGAGAGGAGAGUGGAAUUCCUAGUGUAGAGGUGAAAUUCGUAGAUACUAGGAGGAACACCAGUGGCGAAGGCGGCUCUCUGGCCCGAUACUGACGCUGAGACGCGAAAGCGUGGGGAGCAAACAGG
This 253-nucleotide ribosomal RNA is filed under the name uncultured bacterium. RNAcentral describes it as "partial 16S ribosomal RNA". It matches the Rfam family "Bacterial small subunit ribosomal RNA", at positions 524 to 776 of the family's 1533-position model. The record is from RNAcentral.